UUUAUCCUUUUCCUCCCUCUCUCUUUCCUCAUCUAUGGCUUCAAACUUUAUCAAUGUCAAAAUAUCAACGCUAAAUUGCAGACAUGGUGCACCUAUUUUUUCAAGUGAAAUAUUACUUCUUUGAUUUUUAGGAGAUACCAUUUAAGAUCUUCAUCAUUCAUUUCUAUGACAAUAUUACAGCAGAAGCCUGGAUCAAGCUAACAACAUCAAGGAAGAAUAUGAAAGAUGUGUAUGCGGGAGAAGUUAAAAAAUGCAUCAUAAAGGAUUGAAAUGGUACCUAUUGCGGUGCUGCUAUAUUUUGGUGCAUCUGCAAUGAACAGAAUCAAAGAUGUUUUCAUGGGAUUUCAACACCUACGCAUGUACUCGAAGCAAAAUAUUUAUUAUUAUUUUUACUUGGCUCAAGCAGGCCCCUAUAACUAGGUUGUGUUCUACUUUUGAAUUGUGUUUGCUCCUUAUUGACUGAAUAGUUAUGUUAUGUAUAUGAGCAGAUGACUAUAUACCUCUUUUGUAAAAUUCAAAAUUAAUUACACAUUCUUGAAGUGAAAAAAAAUCAUCAUUUCUACUUAA
This is a long non-coding RNA of Capsicum annuum, 567 nucleotides long. RefSeq lists it as uncharacterized. The transcript is spliced from 2 exons. The record is from RefSeq and is a predicted model, not a curated record. Lineage: Eukaryota; Viridiplantae; Streptophyta; Magnoliopsida; Solanales; Solanaceae.